RNAcentral lists this ribosomal RNA (499 nucleotides) under uncultured bacterium. Its description in RNAcentral is "partial 16S ribosomal RNA". It matches the Rfam family "Bacterial small subunit ribosomal RNA", at positions 899 to 1397 of the family's 1533-position model. The record is from RNAcentral.
ACUCAAAUGAAUUGACGGGGGCCCGCACAAGCGGUGGAGCAUGUGGUUUAAUUCGACGCAACGCGCAGAACCUUACCCGGGUUUGACAUCCAAGGAAUCCCGUGGAGACAUGGGAGUGCCCGCAAGGGAGCCUUGAGACAGGUGCUGCAUGGCUGUCGUCAGCUCGUGUCGUGAGAUGUUGGGUUAAGUCCCGCAACGAGCGCAACCCCCGCCUCCAGUUGCCAGCGUAAAGCCGGGCACUUUGGAGGGACUGCCGGUGUCAAGCCGGAGGAAGGUGGGGAUGACGUCAAGUCCUCAUGGCCUUUAUGCCCGGGGCCACACACGUGCUACAAUGGCCGGUACAAAGGGAAGCCAAGGCGCGAGCCGGAGCAAAUCCCGGAAAACCGGUCCCAGUUCGGAUCGGAGUCUGCAACUCGACUCCGUGAAGUCGGAAUCGCUAGUAAUCGCGGAUCAGAACGCCGCGGUGAAUACGUUCCCGGGCCUUGUACACACCGCCCGU